UACGUAGGGUGCAAGCGUUAAUCGGAAUUACUGGGCGUAAAGCGUGCGCAGGCGGUGAUGUAAGACAGGUGUGAAAUCCCCGGGCUUAACCUGGGAAUUGCGCUUGAAACUAGGUUGCUAGAGUGUGGCAGAGGGGGGUGGAAUUCCACGUGUAGCAGUGAAAUGCGUAGAGAUGUGGAGGAACACCGAUGGCGAAGGCAGCCCCCUGGGUCAACACUGACGCUCAUGCACGAAAGCGUGGGGAGCAAACAGG
RNAcentral lists this ribosomal RNA (253 nucleotides) under uncultured bacterium. RNAcentral describes it as "partial 16S ribosomal RNA". It matches the Rfam family "Bacterial small subunit ribosomal RNA", at positions 524 to 776 of the family's 1533-position model. The record is from RNAcentral.